RNAcentral lists this ribosomal RNA (489 nucleotides) under uncultured bacterium. Its description in RNAcentral is "partial 16S ribosomal RNA". It matches the Rfam family "Bacterial small subunit ribosomal RNA", at positions 28 to 506 of the family's 1533-position model. The record is from RNAcentral.
GAUGAACGCUAGCUACAGGCUUAACACAUGCAAGUCGCGGGGCAGCAUGGGGGUUGCUUGCAAUCCCCGAUGGCGACCGGCGCACGGGUGAGUAACGCGUAUCCAACCUGCCCUUCACCACGGGAUAACCCGGCGAAAGUCGGACUAAUACCGUAUGUUGUCCAUUGACGGCAUCCGAUUUGGACGAAAGGUUUGGCGGGGAAGGAUGGGGAUGCGUCCGAUUAGCUGGACGGCGGGGUGACGGCCCACCGUGGCGACGAUCGGUAGGGGUUCUGAGAGGAAGGUCCCCCACACUGGAACUGAGACACGGUCCAGACUCCUACGGGAGGCAGCAGUGAGGAAUAUUGGUCAAUGGGCGUAAGCCUGAACCAGCCAAGUAGCGUGCAGGAUGACGGCCCUAUGGGUUGUAAACUGCUUUUAUGCGGGGAUAAAGUGGCCCACGUGUGGGUUUUUGCAGGUACCGCAUGAAUAAGGACCGGCUAAUUCCGU